RNAcentral lists this long non-coding RNA (205 nucleotides) under Brassica napus (rape). RNAcentral's name for it is "long non-coding RNA (BNAP_LNC023358)". The record is from RNAcentral. Lineage: Eukaryota; Viridiplantae; Streptophyta; Magnoliopsida; Brassicales; Brassicaceae.
GAAGUGCGGCGUUUUAGUCCUGUCUCCGCUGCUAACUGGCUGUAGUCUUGCCGGAGGCUGACUUCACCGUGAGAAGCCGAUUUGUAACCCUCUGUUUCGUCGCCGCUUCCCUUCGCGACGGAGAGGAGAAGACGAGAGAAGAGAAAGACAGAGAAGACGCCGAUUGCACGGAAGAUACGCUUCUCUUCACAAAAGCAGUCAUCGG